AUAGAUGUCCCUUGGGGGACUUGCUGCAUGCAGAUUCUCAUUAUGCACUUGUGUAUAUGGGGCCUAAGACUCUGCAUUUCUAACAAGCUUCCAGAUGAUGCUGAG
This 105-nucleotide microRNA precursor is filed under the name Marmota monax (woodchuck). Lineage: Eukaryota; Metazoa; Chordata; Mammalia; Rodentia; Sciuridae. The record is from RNAcentral.